RNAcentral lists this long non-coding RNA (298 nucleotides) under Paramuricea clavata. The record is from RNAcentral. Lineage: Eukaryota; Metazoa; Cnidaria; Anthozoa; Malacalcyonacea; Plexauridae.
GUCAGAGAAAGCCCGGUGACAAGGUGCUCUGACAUAUUUGAAAUAGCCUUGACCGAUCAACCGAUCGUCACGCGUGAUUGUGCUCAUGAAGUCAACGUUACCUUAGACUUUCAAAUUACUGAUCAUAAUCUAGCAUGCACAUUAGGUCAGUGGUCCAUUAUUAUUUGACUCAACUUUGUUUAUAUAAUGAGUGGAGAAAGUUAUGACGGAUAUGGUCAUGUUAAACAAUUAAAUGCCAACACUACUCAAGAAGAACUUGUUCAACUCUACUCAGCUUGGAGCAAGACAUAUGAUAAGG